Molecule: long non-coding RNA, 923 nt
Filed under: Setaria viridis
Lineage: Eukaryota; Viridiplantae; Streptophyta; Magnoliopsida; Poales; Poaceae
Description: long non-coding RNA (SVIR_LNC003829)
Source: RNAcentral
CUCGGCUGAUCAACAGUAGCAGCAGAAGAAAGGACUGCUUCACACUCGGGAACAUACGAACCACUUAUCUCAAUAGUCAAUAUUUCAGCGAUCCCAGGGAGAACACAACGUCACGGUCAAUCAGAAAAUAACACACAAUGAUAUGAUGGAUAAUCCACAACCAAAUCAUGUUGAGAAGUACACUUGCACCAGCUCAUGGAUACAGCCGUACAGCACGUAAACAGCAACAGAGUACAUGGCUCAGGAUGGCCCAAACUACACCGUUCAAGCAAUUAGAGGACCUAAGUUAUCCUCAAAUGAGUAGCAAGCAAGGCCAGAAAGCAGAGAUGAGCCCCCAAGUUACUUGCUGUUGCUGACCGACCAGCCAACCAUCAAACUAGAGGAGGACUGGACAAUCCAGCUGCUUCUCCAAUACGAGGACUACGAAGCCGACCAAGUGGACACCGCAGAAGGGUACACCAAUCGUAACGGUCGCGCCCGAGAUCUGCAGCAGGCAUCGCCGAAUCGAACACAAUCGCGGCGGCACUACACAGCGGCGAUGCGUCCGGUAACCACACCAGUGCAAACCCCAGGAGCCUCACCCCCGAUCGGAGACGAUGCUUGGAAUCCCCCAAAAUCCCCUGAAAAAACUCCCCGGAAUACACGCGAUAGACCAAGCUGCGCGAGUCCGAUCAACUGGGGGACGGAACGGAAAUUCACGCACAAGCAUCGGGGGGUCAGCUAGAUAGGGAGGGGUACCUGUGCCUGCGCCGCCGCGCGCGAUGAGGCAGGGCCGGGCUAGGGUUCUAGGCGCGGGGGACGGAACGGCCGUCUCUUUGGUGCUCCUCACUGGAAGAAGGCGGCCGUUCGAAUGCGCAUCAGCGCAGUGUCAUUUUGGGUUUCGUUGUGUUUGUUUCGUUGUUCCAUCACCACCAAGAGCUGGU